This 252-nucleotide ribosomal RNA is filed under the name uncultured bacterium. Its description in RNAcentral is "partial 16S ribosomal RNA". It matches the Rfam family "Bacterial small subunit ribosomal RNA", at positions 524 to 776 of the family's 1533-position model. The record is from RNAcentral.
UACGUAGGGCGCAAGCGUUAUCCGGAAUUAUUGGGCGUAAAGAGCUCGUAGGCGGUUUGUCGCGUCUGCCGUGAAAGUCCGGGGCUCAACUCCGGAUCUGCGGUGGGUACGGGCAGACUAGAGUGAUGUAGGGGGAGACUGGAAUUCCUGGUGUAGCGGUGAAAUGCGCAGAUAUCAGGAGGAACACCGAUGGCGAAGGCGGUCUCUGGGCAUUAACUGACGCUGAGGAGCGAAGCAUGGGGAGCGAACAGG